UGGCUCCUCUCGCUCUCUUACGUUUGCAGAUAAAGGAAAAAAAGUAUAUCGUCUUUAUUACAAAAACAAGAUAUGGUUUGGAAAAUUCAAUAAUCAUUCAUUUGACUAGGUGUUUAAUUCGAUUGAACUUGUAAAGAGCUCUAGAUCCCCAUUUCGAAUUUGACAUUCAAACAGAAAAUACUUUUAAGCCAAAAUUUUAUAUUUGAAAAAAGAAUAGAUCUCCAAUUCAAA
Molecule: long non-coding RNA, 231 nt
Filed under: Brassica napus (rape)
Lineage: Eukaryota; Viridiplantae; Streptophyta; Magnoliopsida; Brassicales; Brassicaceae
Description: long non-coding RNA (BNAP_LNC026715)
Source: RNAcentral